Molecule: ribosomal RNA, 83 nt
Filed under: uncultured bacterium
Lineage: Bacteria
Description: partial 16S ribosomal RNA
Source: RNAcentral
GGUGUAAAAUCCUUUCGGCAGGGGCGAAACCCGAGCAAUCGGGCCGACGGUACCUGAAGAAGAAGCCCCGGCUAACUCCGUGC